RNAcentral lists this long non-coding RNA (1096 nucleotides) under Elaeis guineensis (African oil palm). Its description in RNAcentral is "long non-coding RNA (EGUI_LNC049142)". Lineage: Eukaryota; Viridiplantae; Streptophyta; Magnoliopsida; Arecales; Arecaceae. The record is from RNAcentral.
AUUUUCCCUCUAUGCCUAUUUGAUUAGUCAUUUAUCUUUGUUUCUUGUGCCCAUCUACUAUCUGUUUAAGUAGUAUUAUCUAUAGGUUUUAUCUAUAGGCUUGACCUUAUAUACUCCUCAAUCAUAGUUCAUUUUGCUAUCAUACUCCUGGGUUCCGGACUGUGAGAUAUACGGUGUAUGUGGGCAGUAUCGUAUAUCUUAUAAUUCGUCUAUCAAUCUACUGCUUCUAUGCGUACGCACAUAGCCUACCCAUUUGCUGCUUCUACGUGUAUGCACGUAGCCUUUUCUGCUGUGUCACACUGCUGUGACAAUAUCAUACCUCUGUGGCUCCGAUCCACUUUCACUCACAUACUACUGCUUCCACGUGUAUACGCAUUAGCCCGGGUCAAUUGGUAUCAUAGCCAUUUUUCGUGUCGGAGACGGGAUUUGUCAAUUUUUUUAGUCGUAUAGAGAGUGGAUCGGACAGCGAGCGCGGUAAAUCCCGUGUUAGCUGAGGAAGGUGUUUGGGGUGGUAAGUCGCAAAUAGACUAUUGGUGUCGUCUCAAUGGCUAGUAUCCUUAGAUCUUUUGCUGAACUUCUGAUAACUGAUUCUGUUCUGUAUCUUACUAUAUUUGAAAUAGGUAAAAUGUCUAUCUGCAUUAGAACUGAUCUUGAUCUAUGUUUAUAAAAUAUUUCUAAUCAGCAAAAUGAUUAAAACUCUAGUAACUCUAUAAUAGUUAAUUAAUAGUUUAGAUAUCUAUAAAAAUUAAUUAGUAGUAUAGAUGUAUAUUUUAUAGAAUUUAGUUUAAAAUAGAAAUUAGAGUUAACACUUUCUAUGAUUCUUUAGGUAGACUAGUUAAGUUAGAAAUAUAUUUAACAUAUAUUUAGAUAAUAGUUAGCUGAUUCUCUGAAUAUAGUAAAAUGGAUGAAGAUCUUGAAGCCUUUGAUGUUGAGGACUGGAAUCAAAAUGAUAUACAAGAUGAUAUAGAAUCCGUCUAUCCUGAGGAAAUAGAAGAUAAAUUCUAUCUUGAAGAAAAUAAUAUAGAAAUAUUCUCUUCAGAAAUAAUUGAAGAAUCUGAUGGAGAAGAUGAAAAACAGUCCUUUGAUUAUUAUCUCC